AUUGAACGCUGGCGGAAUGCUUUACACAUGCAAGUCGAACGGCAGCACGGACUUCGGUCUGGUGGCGAGUGGCGAACGGGUGAGUAAUGUAUCGGAACGUGCCCAGUCGUGGGGGAUAACGUAGUGAAAAUUACGCUAAUACCGCAUACGAUCUAUGGAUGAAAGCGGGGGAUCGCAAGACCUCGCGCGAUUGGAGCGGCCGAUAUCGGAGUAGGUAGUUGGUGGGGUAAAGGCCCACCAAGCCAAAGAUCUGUAGCUGGUCUGAGAGGACGACCAGCCACACUGGAACUGAGACACGGUCAAGGCUCCUCCGGGAGGCAGCAGUGGGGAAUUUUGGGCAAUGGGCGAAAGCCUUAUCCAGCCAUUCCGCGUGCAGGAUGAAGGGCCUCGGGUUGUAAACUGCUUUUGUACAGAACGAAAAGGUUUCUACUAAUACUAUGAGCUCAUGACGGUACUGUAAGAAUAAGCACCGGCUAACUACGUGCCAGCCGCCGCCGUAA
RNAcentral lists this ribosomal RNA (500 nucleotides) under uncultured bacterium. RNAcentral describes it as "partial 16S ribosomal RNA". It matches the Rfam family "Bacterial small subunit ribosomal RNA", at positions 30 to 523 of the family's 1533-position model. The record is from RNAcentral.